GACGUAGGGCGCGAGCGUUGUCCGGAUUUAUUGGGCGUAAAGAGCUCGUAGGCGGCUUGUUACGUCGACUGUGAAAACCCGCGGCUCAACCGUGUGGUCUGCAGUCGAUACGGGCAGGCUAGAGUUCGGUAGGGGAGACUGGAAUUCCUGGUGUAGCGGUGAAAUGCGCAGAUAUCAGGAGGAACACCGGUGGCGAAAGCGCGAUACUGGGCCAUAACUGACGCUGAGGAACGAAAGCCAGGGGAGCAAAAGGG
This 254-nucleotide ribosomal RNA is filed under the name uncultured bacterium. RNAcentral describes it as "partial 16S ribosomal RNA". It matches the Rfam family "Bacterial small subunit ribosomal RNA", at positions 524 to 776 of the family's 1533-position model. The record is from RNAcentral.